This 405-nucleotide ribosomal RNA is filed under the name Triticum aestivum (bread wheat). RNAcentral describes it as "partial small subunit ribosomal RNA". Lineage: Eukaryota; Viridiplantae; Streptophyta; Magnoliopsida; Poales; Poaceae. The record is from RNAcentral.
AUGUACGCCUUGUCGCUUUUUUGGGUGAGCAGAAAUUUCUCGUUUGGGAAAAUAGACCUCAGCUCUUCGACACGCCGUGGGCUCAAAACCCUGCGAAGUGGUUGCCCGACUUUCACGCUUCCCGCUUCUACUAUUAACCGGUUAGGGAACAGAAGAUCUUCUCUGUAUCUUAGCUCAGCUGGGCUUGAAACCUUUCCGCUCUGCAGAGUAAGGAACGGAAUUAGUAUUGCAGUAAUUCGGAAAACAGGAAGCAUUUACAGUUACAGGUCAAACGUAAGAAACCUUGAUAAAAUCAGCCACCACCAUUGCUGUUCUUUGUGGAUUAAGUGUGUUUAUAGGAGUUGCUCUCAUCUCUUGCACCACUCCCCAUAUAUGCACAGCAGAAAGCAAUGGGCCUAUGAUUAG